GACGAACGCUGGCGGCGUGCUUAACACAUGCAAGUCGAACGGAAAGGCCCUGCUUUUGUGGGGUGCUCGAGUGGCGAACGGGUGAGUAACACGUGAGUAACCUGCCCUUGACUUUGGGAUAACUUCAGGAAACUGGGGCUAAUACCGGAUAGGAGCUCCUGCUGCAUGGUGGGGGUUGGAAAGUUUCGGCGGUUGGGGAUGGACUCGCGGCUUAUCAGCUUGUUGGUGGGGUAGUGGCUUACCAAGGCUUUGGGGGGUCGCCGGCCUGGGGGGGUGCCCGGCCAAUGGGGGGCGGAGACGGCGCCCACCCCCACGGGGGGGGGCAGGGGGGGGAAUUGUGCAAAGGGGGCGGGCGCGUGGCGGCGAAACCGCGGGGGGGGGGAGGGGGCUUUGGGGGUGAAAACCUUUUGCGCGGGAGAAGAAGGGUGGGGGAGGGAAAUGGGUAAGAAAGCCCGGGUAAAUAAGGG
This 467-nucleotide ribosomal RNA is filed under the name uncultured bacterium. RNAcentral describes it as "partial 16S ribosomal RNA". The stretch from base 20 to 330 matches the Rfam family "Bacterial small subunit ribosomal RNA", at positions 47 to 358 of the family's 1533-position model. The record is from RNAcentral.